RNAcentral lists this transfer RNA (68 nucleotides) under Tetraloides nigrifrons. RNAcentral's name for it is "tRNA-Glu". The record is from RNAcentral. Lineage: Eukaryota; Metazoa; Arthropoda; Malacostraca; Decapoda; Tetraliidae.
AUUUUUAUAGUGUAAUAAACACAUUACAUUUUCGUUGUAAAGUUGAAAUUAUUUUAUUUCUAAAAAUA